UGGUAGCGGUGGAUGGGGGAGCGCUGCGUUUCUAGAACGCGGCGCGCGUUCUAAAAACAAAUUUUCUCCGUGGCUGCAACGCUAGAGCGGCAACGCGUGGAGCAUUUGCUUGGUGGCUUUGGUGGGGCAUGCUGCACCGUAAACGCGAUUGCUUUUCUUCGAUUGUGCGUGGUUCGUCGUACACGGAAGCGCAACGAUGCCUGGCUGUUGUUGCGCACCAAACUGCAAGUCCAAUUAUGACGGAGGACAAAGUGUCCGAGUGCACAAGUUCCCAUCUGACCGAGCCACUCGGGAAGCGUGGACGAGAGCAGUUCCUCGGAAGGACUUCUCGCCAACGAAGUACACAGUGCCCUGUGAAAAGCAUUUCUUGCCAUCGGAUUACUUGAAGACGACAUCUUACACGGACGUCAAGACAGGAAAAGUGGUCGAAGUUGCCAUGAAAAAAACAUCCGUCCGAAGAAAAAUGCAGUUCCGAGCUUGUUUCCCAAAUUGCCCUGCCUAUUUAUCGCGUCCGCAAGUGUGCGUUCGAGAAGCGCUGGCUGCCAAAAGAGCGCGCUUGGAAGCCACAUAUUUGCAAAAAGCAAUAAUGCUUUCUCAGCAAACCCAAGCAGAAGAGGACGCCAAAAAUCUGGUUGGUAGCUUUGCGGACUUGCUGAAGGCCUUGCCAAGCUUUCAGUGUUCGGACUUCUGGACAGUUCUGGACAACAAGGGCUCCAAGGUUUUCUUUUUGGACUUGUCACUUUAAUCUGCUCCUGCAGUCCGUAUACUUCGGUGAUCGUGUCCACAGACCUGCGCGUCGAAGUACUUUUUGGUGAAACGGGUGUGAGGAAGUGUGGUGAUGUUUUAGUUCCUGAAAAGCUGUGCGACUUGAGAGAUUUGAAAAGUGUGUUACACAUGAUCGAACAGACACGUAAGGAUAUCAGCACUGAGCGUUCUGAAAAGGCCCGUCAUCUACUGACAUUGGUUUCGACAUUGCUAGAGGAAGUAAGUGGAAAAGAUUUCGCAUGCGAGUUGCAAGAAUGGCAUUUGGAAGUGCUUAAAUUCUUGAAGAGUCAAGUUGAUCUUCUUUUGAAUGAUGCUGGCCGAUAUCCCCCCCGAUUUAUUGGUUUUUGCUAGCCUUUUGUUCACAAUUUCACCUUAUGCAUACAGAUUCCUGAGAAGUUCGAUGAAGCUUAAGAUGCCGCAUCCUGAUACGAUCAGAAGACUGUGUUCAUCGUACGAUGUACGCCCUGAAACGGAGCAGCAAGAAUGUAGCUUUCUUUCCUAUGCAAAGCGUAUGGUAAGCACAUAUAAAGAGCAUGAAAAGAAUGUAACGUUAAUGAUUGAUGAGAUUCACCUUCAAUCAUUUUUUUAUUACAAGGAUGGGUUGGUUACUGGUGCUGCGGUAAAUGUAAUGUGUGUGAUUUCGGUCGUCCUGCACAGGAGGUAAUGGGGCGUGUUGUAAGUGCUGCAGCGAAUACACUGCUGAACAACUUGUGCCGCACAGAAAACGACAAAUUACGCAACGCCAAGAACGACCGAAAAUUGCAGACCUUGAAGGCCUGAGAUGUUUCUCAUUAUUUAUUUUUUAUUCAUGAAGCUCUGUUUUGUUGAACGUCUACGUAUGUUUGUGUUGACAGAACCCUUGUAAAAAGAAACCUGUGGCGUAGCUAGGACUUAUUUGCCUACAUUAUCAAAAUUUAAACCCUGCAUUUUGGCCAAUUCAAAUGUUAUUUGAGUGCAUUGUGCUACCUGUUUAUGAUUCGAACUCUCCAUGCUACCGCAAUCCAUUAAUUGCAUGCUUUCCUUUAGGACUGAGAGUAGGCCUCUCGUUUUUUACUUACUUUUCGCCAUUAUCUCUGUAUUUUAUGAAGACCAAUAAGGCCUGCAAACAAGGCGGGUGGAAAUAAAAUAACCACAAGAAAUGGUACUACAAAGACGGAAGCUUGUUCUACUUGAGAAUUAGUUGUGCGUGACCCUAUAAUGAUAACAUUUUCACAAUAAAAUUAACCUCGAUAUUCGUGUGUCUAGCGUGGACUGUUUUACGCAAUGCAAGAGUGAGAAUGAUAAUUGUAUAUGAAAGACUAAAAAUGUUUGUUUCCUAAUGCAGUUCUUAUCAUUUGUGAAUAAAGUAUAUUCUGUGUCUUCAA
This is a long non-coding RNA of Dermacentor albipictus, 2129 nucleotides long. RefSeq lists it as uncharacterized. Lineage: Eukaryota; Metazoa; Arthropoda; Arachnida; Ixodida; Ixodidae. The record is from RefSeq and is a predicted model, not a curated record.